GGUGUUAGAUUGGUUGAUGGGGUGAGUCUAUAUGAUGGACUUGUGGAGAUCCUUGUGGGUGAUGUUUGGGGUCCGGUGUGUGGAUACCAUUACAAAACAAUCGAUUCCCAGAUUUCCGCUGACGACGGAGUGUUUUGUCGAAUGCUCGGAUUAAGUAGAUCUGCAGGAGGAAAUUAUGAUAGAUGGAAAGGUGAUACGACAAGAAGAUCCUUAUUGAAACUCUCGUGUCCUCCAAAUGCGGCUCAUUUAAAUGAUUGCAACUACAUGGCAACAUACACGUGUUUCUGGCAGUAUGGUAUUAUUUGUGAAGGCCCUCCUUUGAAUAUCAGCUCUGUUCAGCUCGCCGGUGGAUCAAGCAAGAGGGACGGUCGUUUAGAAUUGCAUGUUGAUAACAAGACAGGGACAGUUUGUCAGAAAGACUUUGGC
Long non-coding RNA from Dreissena polymorpha, 426 nucleotides. RefSeq lists it as uncharacterized. The transcript is spliced from 3 exons. The record is from RefSeq and is a predicted model, not a curated record. NCBI's taxonomy places the organism in Eukaryota, Metazoa, Mollusca, Bivalvia, Myida, Dreissenidae.